GACGAACGCUGGCGGCGCGCUUGACACAUGCAAGUCGAACGGAAAGGCCUGCUUUCCCUUGUGGAUUGCGGGUACUCGAGUGGCGAACGGGUGAGUAACACGUGAGUGAUCUGCCCCCAACUUGGGUAUAAGCCUGGGAAACUGGGUCUAAUUCCCGAUAGGACUGCAGGGUGGUGCCUGUGGUGGAAAACGAUUUUCUAGUGGUUGGGGAUGAGCUCGCGGCCUAUCAGCUUGUUGGUGGGGUAAUGGCCUACCAAGGCGGCGACGGGUAGCCGGCCUGAGAGGGUGGACGGCCACAUUGGGACUGAGAUACGGCCCAGACUCCUACGGGAGGCAGCAGUGGGGAAUAUUGCACAAUGGGCGGAAGCCUGAUGCAGCGACGCCGCGUGGGGGAUGACGGCCUUCGGGUUGUAAACUCCUUUCGACCGCGAGGAAGCCACCUGGUUGGAAGGGUGGUGACGGUAGUGGUAGAAGAAGCACCGGCUAACUACGUG
This 494-nucleotide ribosomal RNA is filed under the name uncultured bacterium. RNAcentral describes it as "partial 16S ribosomal RNA". It matches the Rfam family "Bacterial small subunit ribosomal RNA", at positions 28 to 507 of the family's 1533-position model. The record is from RNAcentral.